AUGUGUUGGAGUACUACUAGCAUCGCUUCGGACAAGAAAAGGCGGAGGAGUGCGUGCGUGCGUUGGGCGCAGUCUAGGAAACACGUCAAAUUCUCAGAGGCUUCAAGACUGAAGCGGCGGAAAAGGAUGCUCGAAAGUGGAACCGAUCACCCAGGAGGAAAUGCGCAGCAAGCAACCGACGAAGACAACAUAUAUAUAGGUCAAACUUUGAGGGGACAAGAAGGAGAACCCGGCGAAAGUUGGAAAGAGGCAGAUCAGAUCGACCGAACCGUUCAACCGAGGCAGACGGAGAAUCAAAAACAAAACCAACAAGAACGCACCGGCCAGGGCGGAAAUGGAAGGUAG
RNAcentral lists this ribosomal RNA (345 nucleotides) under Triticum aestivum (bread wheat). RNAcentral describes it as "partial small subunit ribosomal RNA". The record is from RNAcentral. Lineage: Eukaryota; Viridiplantae; Streptophyta; Magnoliopsida; Poales; Poaceae.